UUAAACUGAAGAGUUUGAUCCUGGCUCAGAUUGAACGCUGGUGGCAUGCUUAACACAUGCAAGUCGAACGGUAACAGGUCUUCGGAUGCUGACGAGUGGCGGACGGGUGAGUAACGCGUAGGAAUCUGCCCAUCUGUGGGGGAUACCAGUUGGAAACGACUGUUAAUACCGCAUAAUAUCUGCGGAUUAAAGGUGGCCUUUGCGCUGCCGCAGAUGGAUGAGCCUGCGUUGGAUUAGCUAGUUGGUGGGGUAAGGGCCUACCAAGGCUACGAUCCAUAGCUGAUUUGAGAGGAUGAUCAGCCACAUUGGGACUGAGACACGGCCCAAACUCCUACGGGAGGCAGCAGUGGGGAAUAUUGGACAAUGGGGGAAACCCUGAUCCAGCAAUGCCAUGUGUGUGAAGAAGGCUCUAGGGUUGUAAAGCACUUUAGUUGGGGAGGAAAGCCUGUGAGUUAAUAGCUUGCAGGAAGGACGUUGCCCAAAGAAUAAGGACCGGCUAACUCCGUGCCAGCAGCCGCGGUAAUACGGGGGGUCCGAGCGUUAAUCGGAAUUACUGGGCGUAAAGGGUCUGUAGGUGGUUUGUUAAGUCAGAUGUGAAAGCCCAGGGCUCAACCUUGGAACUGCAUUUGAUACUGACAAACUAGAGUAUGGUAGAGGAAUAGGGAACUUCUGGUGUAGCGGUGAAAUGCGUAGAGAUCAGAAGGAACACCAAUGGCGAAGGCAACAUUCUGGACCAAUACUGACACUGAGGGACGAAAGCGUGGGGAUCAAACAGGAUUAGAUACCCUGGUAGUCCACGCUGUAAACGAUGAGUACUAGCUGUUGGAUUCGGUGUAAAGGAUCUAGUGGCGCAGCUAACGCGUUAAGUACUCCGCCUGGGGACUACGGCCGCAAGGCUAAAACUCAAAGGAAUUGACGGGGACCCGCACAAGCGGUGGAGCAUGUGGUUUAAUUCGAUGCAACGCGAAGAACCUUACCUGGUCUUGACAUCCUGCGAACUUUCUAGAGAUAGAUUGGUGCCUUCGGGAACGCAGUGACAGGUGCUGCACGGCUGUCGUCAGCUCGUGUUGUGAAAUGUUGGGUUAAGUCCCGCAACGAGCGCAACCCCUAUUGAUAGUUACCAUCAUUAAGUUGGGUACUCUAUUGAGACUGCCGCUGACAAGGCGGAGGAAGGUGGGGACGACGUCAAGUCAUCAUGGCCCUUACGACCAGGGCUACACACGUGCUACAAUGGGUAUUACAGAGGGCUGCGAAGGUGCGAGCUGGAGCGAAACUCAGAAAGGUACUCUUAGUCCGGAUUGCAGUCUGCAACUCGACUGCAUGAAGUCGGAAUCGCUAGUAAUCGCAGGUCAGAAUACUGCGGUGAAUACGUUCCCGGGUCUUGUACACACCGCCCGUCACACCAUGGGAGUGGGUUGCUCCAGAAGUAGAUAGCUUAACGAAUGGGCGUUUACCACGGAGUGAUUCAUAACUGGGGUGAAGUCGUAACAAGGUAGCCGUAGGGGAACCUGCGGCUGGAUCACCUCCUUAA
Molecule: ribosomal RNA, 1531 nt
Filed under: Francisella orientalis LADL 07-285A
Lineage: Bacteria; Pseudomonadati; Pseudomonadota; Gammaproteobacteria; Thiotrichales; Francisellaceae
Description: Francisella noatunensis subsp. orientalis LADL--07-285A 16S ribosomal RNA
Rfam family: Bacterial small subunit ribosomal RNA
Source: RNAcentral